CCUACCCGCUAUUGGAGUUCGAUUAAGCCAUGCGAGUCGAGAGUCCUCGGGACUCGGCGUACCGCUCAGUAACACGUGGGUAACCUGCCCUAUGCUGGGGAAUAACCUCGGGAAACUGAGAACAAUGCCCCAUAGCCCACUACGCCUGGAACGGUGAGUGGGUCAAAGCUCCGGCGGCAUAGGAUGGGCCUGCGCCGUAUCAGGUUGUAGGGGGUGUAAAGUACCCUCUAGCCAUCAACGCGUACGGGUGUUGGGAGACAUUGCCCGGAGAUGGAUUCUGAGACACGAAUCCAGACCCUACGGGGUGCAGCAGGCGCGAAAACUUGGCAAUGCGAGAAAUCGUGACCAGGGAACUCCAAGUGCGUAGGGUAAGACCUACGCUUUUCUUGACUCUUCAAAGGUCUUGGAAUAAGGGGUGGGUAAGGACGGUGCCAGCCGCCGCGGUAAUACCGGCGCCUCAAGUGGUAGUCGCUUUUUAUUGGGCCUAAAACGUCCGUAGCCGGUCUGGUGCAUUCGUGGGUAAAUCAACCCGCUCAACGGGUUGAAUUCUGCGAGCACGGCCAGACUUGGGACCGGGAGAGGUGUGGGGUACUCUCAGGGUAGGGGUAAAAUCCUGUCAUCCUGAGAGGACCACCUGUUGCGAAGGCGCCACACUAGAACGGAUCC
Molecule: ribosomal RNA, 666 nt
Filed under: uncultured marine archaeon
Lineage: Archaea
Description: bacterial SSU rRNA
Rfam family: Archaeal small subunit ribosomal RNA
Source: RNAcentral